Non-coding RNA from Danionella cerebrum, 71 nucleotides. The record is from the annotation of a GenBank genome assembly. NCBI's taxonomy places the organism in Eukaryota, Metazoa, Chordata, Actinopteri, Cypriniformes, Danionidae.
UUUGGAGAUGGCUUUCCUGUAGAGCAUUGCGCUAACAACGCAAAGGUUGUGGGUUCAAAUCCCAAGGAAAA